AUGGCAGAAUGCUUCAAUAAGGUGCUCAAGGGUGUACGUGCAUUACCCGUGACGGCAAUAGUUCAAUACACAUUUGACAAGAUGAAUGGAUACUUUUUAAAGUACUCAAUGGAGACGGAUAAGCAGAUUGCUGGUGAGAACAAGGAUAAGCACAAGUACUAUUUCCCACCAAAGGUUGAAGAAUGGUUGGACUUUCAAUCACGAAAGGCAGACUCCCAAGAAGCUGUACUAUAUGACGACAACGAGUGGAAGUAUGAAGUGAAAGAGCCUGGAGGAACCACAAACGAUGGGCACCAACACGGAGGCCGCGCUUUCAAGGUCUCCCUAACACGGUGUGAUUGCAGCUGCAUGAGGCCAUCGUUGCUUCAUCUCCCAUGCUCGCACUUGUUAAAUGUAUCCCGUGUUAGGAAUGUGGACGUCAAUCACCCUCUUACCGUGAGGGAGUCCGAGUUCUCAAUCAUGACGGUAAAGAAUACAUGGGCUCCCUGGUUUCAGCCAUACUUGGACCAAUCACAAUGGCCGGAGUAUCAUGGAGUUCAACUAUGGCCGGACCCGGAAUUGAAGGUUGUUAGACGGGGAAGACGUAAGACAAAGCGUCUUAGAGGUGACAUGGACGGAUGGGGCCGUGGUGGCGGUGGAGAAUACGGCACCGGCCAAUUCCAAGAGCCUCGUGAGCAAAGCCGUUGUGGGGACUGCAGUGGGGAUGGUCUUGGCCGUGGUGAAGGCCUAGUCGUGGGGAUGGUCUUGGCCGUGGUGAAGGCCUAG
This 765-nucleotide ribosomal RNA is filed under the name Triticum aestivum (bread wheat). RNAcentral's name for it is "partial small subunit ribosomal RNA". Lineage: Eukaryota; Viridiplantae; Streptophyta; Magnoliopsida; Poales; Poaceae. The record is from RNAcentral.